Molecule: ribosomal RNA, 253 nt
Filed under: uncultured Enterococcaceae bacterium
Lineage: Bacteria; Bacillati; Bacillota; Bacilli; Lactobacillales; Enterococcaceae
Description: partial 16S ribosomal RNA
Rfam family: Bacterial small subunit ribosomal RNA
Source: RNAcentral
UACGUAGGUGGCAAGCGUUGUCCGGAUUUAUUGGGCGUAAAGCGAGCGCAGGCGGUUUCUUAAGUCUGAUGUGAAAGCCCCCGGCUCAACCGGGGAGGGUCAUUGGAAACUGGGAGACUUGAGUGCAGAAGAGGAGAGUGGAAUUCCAUGUGUAGCGGUGAAAUGCGUAGAUAUAUGGAGGAACACCAGUGGCGAAGGCGACUCUCUGGUCUGUAACUGACGCUGAGGCUCGAAAGCGUGGGGAGCAAACAGG